RNAcentral lists this unclassified non-coding RNA (424 nucleotides) under Basidiomycota sp. RNAcentral describes it as "partial contains small subunit ribosomal RNA, internal transcribed spacer 1, and 5.8S ribosomal RNA". The stretch from base 1 to 47 matches the Rfam family "Eukaryotic small subunit ribosomal RNA", at positions 1785 to 1831 of the family's 1831-position model. Lineage: Eukaryota; Fungi; Basidiomycota. The record is from RNAcentral.
AAAGUCGUAACAAGGUUUCCGUAGGUGAACCUGCGGAAGGAUCAUUACAAAUCCACGGGGUGUGAGGAGAGAGAGAGAGAGAAGCGGGGGAGGCACACUACUAGUCAUAACGGCUGGUGUGUGUGACCUUUCCUCUCUUCCUCUCUCCUCCUCCAUCCUUUCCACACAAAACCCGUUUUAACGUUCAUGAGUGUGUGUGAGUGUCGUCAAGGGAGGGAAAGGGGAAAGAGAGAGAAAUCAUUCUCUUUCCACCCCCGCCCCCCUCUUGUGCCCUCACUCCACUCUUUACAACAAACCCCCUAGUGUGAUCUCGUUGCUUCAGCUGUUAACUGUCGUCGUCGUCGUCAUCAUCUUUUUGUUGACAACACACGCACACACACACACAACUACGAAACAACUUAUAACAAUGGAUCUCUAGGCUCUU